GUGGGGAAUAUUGGGCAAUGGGCGAAAGCCUGACCCAGCAACGCCGCGUGAGGGAAGAAGGUUUUCGGAUUGUAAACCUCUGUCCUUGGUGACGAAGGAAGUGACGGUAGCCAAGGAGGAAGCCCCGGCUAACUACGUGCCAGCAGCCGCGGUAAUACGUAGGGGGCGAGCGUUGUCCGGAAUGACUGGGCGUAAAGGGCGUGUAGGCGGCCGAUUAAGUCUGGAGUGAAAGUCCUGCUUUCAAGGUGGGAAUUGCUUUGGAGACUGGUUGGCUUGAGUGCGGAAGAGGUAAGUGGAAUUCCCAGUGUAGCGGUGAAAUGCGUAGAGAUUGGGAGGAACACCAGUGGCGAAGGCGACUUACUGGGCCGUAACUGACGCUGAGGCGCGAAAGCGUGGGGAGCGAACAGGAUUAGAUACCCCGGUAGUCC
This 428-nucleotide ribosomal RNA is filed under the name uncultured bacterium. RNAcentral's name for it is "partial 16S ribosomal RNA". It matches the Rfam family "Bacterial small subunit ribosomal RNA", at positions 354 to 796 of the family's 1533-position model. The record is from RNAcentral.